UACGUAGGGUGCAAGCGUUGUCCGGAAUUAUUGGGCGUAAAGAGCUCGUAGGCGGUCUUUCGCGUCGGCUGUGAAAUCCCGAGGCUCAACCUCGGGUCUGCAGUCGAUACGGGCAAACUGGAGUGUUGCAGGGGAGACUGGAAUUCCUGGUGUAGCGGUGAAAUGCGCAGAUAUCAGGAGGAACACCGGUGGCGAGGGCGGGUCUCUGGGCAACAACUGACGCUGAGGAGCGAAAGCGUGGGGAGCGAACAGG
RNAcentral lists this ribosomal RNA (253 nucleotides) under uncultured bacterium. RNAcentral's name for it is "partial 16S ribosomal RNA". It matches the Rfam family "Bacterial small subunit ribosomal RNA", at positions 524 to 776 of the family's 1533-position model. The record is from RNAcentral.